GCGCAGCAGGCGCGAAACCUCCGCAAUGCGCGAAAGCGCGACGGGGUUACCCCGAGUGCCGUCCGCUGAGGACGGCUUUUGCCCAGUGUAGCCAGCUGGGCGAAUAAGGAGAGGGCAAGUCUGGUGUCAGCCGCCGCGGUAAUACCAGCUCUCCGAGUGGUGGGGACGCUUAUUGGGCCUAAAGCAUCCGUAGCCGGUCUGGCAAGUCCCUUGUUAAAUCCAACGAUUCAAUCGUUGGACUGCAAGGGGAUACUGCCAGACUAGGGGGCGGGAGAGGCCGACGGUAUUCCCCGGGGUAGGGUGAAAUCCUAUAAUCCCCGGGAGGACCACCAGUGGCGAAGGCUGUCGGCUAGAACGCGCCCGACGGUGAGGGAUGAAAGC
This 381-nucleotide ribosomal RNA is filed under the name uncultured microorganism. Its description in RNAcentral is "bacterial SSU rRNA". It matches the Rfam family "Archaeal small subunit ribosomal RNA", at positions 330 to 711 of the family's 1478-position model. The record is from RNAcentral.